GUAUUUAAAUAUAAUUACACGAAGGUCUAUGAGCUAAUUAAUAAAUUAUUCUAGUAUUAAUUAAUAUAUGUUGCAAUAUAUAUGUAUUAUUAUUAAUUAGGGGUGAUAGGCCUCUCAAAUCGCCCGAUAACUUGUUUUUUAGGAAAUCUAUUAAGUAACUAGUCAACUUUGAAGUGGUGAGAUUUCAAAGCAAUAUCAAAAUAAAAUGUUCAGCAGCUAAUUGUCUAACGGCAAUUGCUUAUUUAUUAUAACAUUAAGUAUUAAUAAUUAUAAAUUUUACUAAAAUAUGCCCUUAUAUUAACUAGAGUAUAGUUAAUGUUAACAUUAGUAUCUAAAUAUAACUGAUAUAGGAACUCGGCAAAUUGUUUCUCAACUGUUUAACAAAAACAUAGCUAAUCGAUUUGUAUGGUUAGUUACGUCUGCUCAAUGACGAAGUUAAAUAGCCGCAGUACUUUGACUGUGCAAAGGUAGCAUAAUCAUUUGGCUUAUAAUUGAAGUCUGGCAUGAAAGAAUUUAUGGGUAACGACUGUCUUUAUUAGUUGGUUAGAAUUUAUUUAAUAGGUGAAAAUACCUAUAGUUAUAGAAUAGACGAGAAGACCCUAGAAAUUUUAUAUAGUAAGGUAAAACACUUAUAGUAUUUUGUUGGGGCGACAGAAUAACACGAAACUUAUUUUAAUAUAUAAGAAUUAUGUAGUAAGUAAAAAUAAAUUACUCUAGGGAUAACAGCAUAAUUUGUGAAAGUUUGUGACCUCGAUGUUGGACUAGGGUUCUUAAUGGUCAAAAGCUAUUAAAGUAAGCUCUGUUCGAGCUAAUAUCCCUACAUGAUCUGAGUCAGACGGUAC
Molecule: ribosomal RNA, 842 nt
Filed under: Xerosecta arigonis
Lineage: Eukaryota; Metazoa; Mollusca; Gastropoda; Stylommatophora; Geomitridae
Description: partial 16S ribosomal RNA
Rfam family: Archaeal large subunit ribosomal RNA (bases 278-842)
Source: RNAcentral